RNAcentral lists this long non-coding RNA (1682 nucleotides) under Daphnia pulex (common water flea). RNAcentral describes it as "uncharacterized LOC124210058, transcript variant X3". Lineage: Eukaryota; Metazoa; Arthropoda; Branchiopoda; Diplostraca; Daphniidae. The record is from RNAcentral.
UUUCUUUUGAACCGUGACGCUGUCCGAGAACAGUGACUCUCGACAUUGCUGAGUGCUUUUUUCAGAAAUUUUUCGUCGAAAAAGCCUUAUGGAGUCUGAGCUUCAUGUGUUGCGUGCACGUUAUCGCUGACUUCAUUGACUUGUCAUGAAGAUGCAUCCUAGAGAAGGUUCUAUCAUAUUGAAUGACAAAUGAGAUGAAAAGAGGAAAUCUGGAAAAGCAGUUGUUAAAAGUUGCCAGUUUGAAUCAUCAGUGGGCAAGCAUUUUGCUAAUCUGUAGUCGACUAUGGAUGUGACACAUAUUCUGUGUUUUGAAUACGAGUUGUAUAUUACAUUUUUGAUAAAGAAAGAAUCCGACACCUACUUGUUUUCAAGAUUCCUUGAUCAGUUCGGUGUUUGAGCUGUUGAUGGUGUUGUCUGGUGCGAAUCUUGCAGUCAUUUUCCAUCUGAGAGCUUCCCUGUAAUGGAACUUGUAUUAACUUGCAGUCGGACUUAAGUGUUAUGGUGGUGCUCAUGUAUUCAUGGACCGUUAAUCGAACUGUUUUGUUGGGUCUGUUUGGGGUGCAGUGGUUUUCCAGUUGCGAGAUGCGUAGCAGUGGAGCUUAAGCAGAUAACUUGUUUAAUAGUUUCAGAGUUUGUUCACCAGCGGUCAACACCCUAGUGUUGGCAACAUGGCAAACUUUUGUCGCCGACGUCAUUUCUAUUCCUGGUGCUGUCAAUUCCGGUGUUCGUGAACAGUGCCGUCAAACAUUCUUCUUCACAGAUAUCCCCAAAUAGGAUUAAUUGCUUGGUCAAGCUGAGCUUUUUCAAGGCUGUUCAAUUUCCACUGCAAUAUGUUGCAGCCAGUUGGUUGAUGGUGUGGUGAACUGUUGUAUGAAGACCAUGCGCUGUUAUGAGCUUCUGGAUACAAUCCGGUGCUGGUGUGGGGAAUUGUUGAUGCUGUCUGUGGAGUUUGGGCUUGAAAUUUUUAAGAGUUCACUGCCUUAACAAUUGAGUGCAAAUAUCCAGUCAGUUAGAUGUCUGACUUUAAUUGAUGUCUCUAUUUGGUGUGUAUUUCAUAUUUGGGUGGUUAGCCAGAUUUUGAAUGGGAGUUAAAGUCAAAUUGAGCUGCACGUUCUGCAAGCGAUCUUCAUUGCUGAUGUCAUCCUGAAGUGUAAAAUCAAUGAAGUCAUCUUGAAAUGGUCUUGGCUAUGAAGUUAUUAUCAUCAAUCCUCUGCAUGCAGUUGUUAUCAAAAGUUGGAGAAGUAAGACGGCAAAGCUGCCAGAAAAAGAAAUGGUCUCUACGGAAAUGUGCAGCGGUUUUGCAGUCCGACUUUGUUCAAGCUGUUGCUUUCCUGAAUUUUGCUAGUCUUUGAAGUAGCUGAACCUGAAGUUAUGAUGCUGGUGUUAUCCUGAAAUAGCUGUUGUUGGUGCUAUCAAAUUACUGUGGCAGUGCAAUUCGGUUAUAUUAUAUCUAUAUAGUAUGUGAUUGUAGUAACCUUAAGCUAUUUCGUCACCCAUUGUGUCAUGUUGCAAUCUGACGUUUGUAUUGUUUAAACAACAGUUGUGCUACUGAUAUUAUCCUCACCCAUAUCUAGAAAUAAUGUUAUGUCAAAGUUAACUUGCAAUAUUUCGAUGUGCGUUGGAAAUUUAAGCUCGAUAUAUUUUCACAAAUUAUAAAAUAAAUAAAAACAAAACCAACUUUA